Molecule: ribosomal RNA, 254 nt
Filed under: uncultured bacterium
Lineage: Bacteria
Description: partial 16S ribosomal RNA
Rfam family: Bacterial small subunit ribosomal RNA
Source: RNAcentral
UACGUAGGGGCCUAGCGUUGUCCGGAAUCAUUGGGCGUAAAGAGCUCGUAGGCGGCUCGGUAAGUCGGGUGUGAAACCCCCAGGCUCAACCUGGGGACGCCACCCGAUACUGCUGUGGCUAGAGUCCAGUAGGGGAGUGUGGAAUUCCCGGUGUAGCGGUGAAAUGCGCAGAUAUCGGGAGGAACACCAGCGGCGAAGGCGGCACUCUGGGCUGGAACUGACGCUGAGGAGCGAAAGCGUGGGGAGCGAACAGG